GAUGAACGCUGGCGGCGUGCCUAACACAUGCAAGUCGAGCGGUAUAUAGUGGAAUGAAACUUCGGUCGAGUGAAGCUAUAGAGAGCGGCGGACGGGUGAGUAACGCGUAGGCAACCUGCCCCAUACAGAGGGAUAGCCUCGGGAAACCGGGAUUAAAACCUCAUAACGCGAGGAGUUCACAUGGACUUCUCGCCAAAGAUUCAUCGGUAUGGGAUGGGCCUGCGUCUGAUUAGCUAGUUGGUGAGGUAACGGCUCACCAAGGCGACGAUCAGUAGCCGACCUGAGAGGGUAAUCGGCCACAUUGGAACUGAGACACGGUCCAAACUCCUACGGGAGGCAGCAGUGGGGAAUAUUGCACAAUGGGCGAAAGCCUGAUGCAGCAACGCCGCGUGAGCGAUGAAGGCCUUUGGGUCGUAAAGCUCUGUCCUUGGGAAGAAACGAAAUGACGGUACCCUUGGAGGAAGCCCCGGCUAACUACGUGCCAGCAGCCGCGGUAA
RNAcentral lists this ribosomal RNA (497 nucleotides) under uncultured bacterium. Its description in RNAcentral is "bacterial SSU rRNA". It matches the Rfam family "Bacterial small subunit ribosomal RNA", at positions 28 to 523 of the family's 1533-position model. The record is from RNAcentral.